Long non-coding RNA from Rosa chinensis, 987 nucleotides. RefSeq lists it as uncharacterized. NCBI's taxonomy places the organism in Eukaryota, Viridiplantae, Streptophyta, Magnoliopsida, Rosales, Rosaceae. The transcript is spliced from 3 exons. The record is from RefSeq and is a predicted model, not a curated record.
CUGUUUUUCUUUAUUCAGACUUUUAGUUGACUUAUCUCUUCACAAUCAAGCCAUAUGCUAGGGAGUUCUUCCAGCUCCGGCGCCGACAAAUAUCCCGAUUCUAAGGAUUCUUGGUGUUUCAAUUUCUAUGCGUACAAGGCCACAUUCAGACAAAGCAUAUAUAGUGCUUUUGGUUUGCUGCUACUGAAUAAUCAACCAAGUUCAGAUCAGUUUUCUAGGCCUGUUUGGGUCAAUUUCCAAGAACCUUACGUUUCUGUUGUAUUGUUACUUUAAUAAAGAAUAACUUUGUCUGUCUGAUGAUAUGUCUUUCAGGGGAAAGCUAAUAGAUGCAUACCGAUUUUUACACAAAGAGAAGGACAUGGAGCGUGGCUUCACCUGGUCAGGAAAUCCCUUUGGAAAGUAAGACCAUAUGGUUCAUGCACAUAGGAACUUGCCGUUGAAAAUAAAUUGGAUUACUGUUGUGUUGGGCGAGUUGAAGUGAUGUAGAAUCAUAGUGAUUCCAUCUGAAUGUGCAAUCAUUAGAUGUACAUAGGAAGUUAGGAACUGUAUUAUACAGUUUACACCACAUAAUAAACAUACCGGGUGGCUUUCUGGCCGGUAUAGAGGCAAAAGGAUGAGGACAGAGUACUUCAUAGCUGCAGAGAAACUCAAAGAUAGGAUUGUUUCAUGUGAGAUGCACUGGCAAGGGAUGAAUUACAAGGUUGGCUGACUGCGGUGCAGAAGGACUACUUUAGACUUCUACAUUAUCAAGAGUUGCAUUUCAAUGAUUGUGGAGAUCGUGUUUCUCAGUUGUUACAUGUUGAAUUAGCUGCCCCAGCUUCACAGUUUAAAAACAAUGAUAUUCUAGAAGACCUCAUGAUUCAAAUUUGUGUAUAGUAAUUAGCUAAAGUACCAGAUUUUGGAUCAUGUAAAACAAUGUUUGAUGUGUAUAUGCAACACAUUUAUAUAGUGUACCUAAUAUUUGUGAAUUCAAUAAUGUCCAUGAUA